Molecule: long non-coding RNA, 683 nt
Filed under: Phoenix dactylifera (date palm)
Lineage: Eukaryota; Viridiplantae; Streptophyta; Magnoliopsida; Arecales; Arecaceae
Description: long non-coding RNA (PDAC_LNC000926)
Source: RNAcentral
AGAAAAAGUCGGUUUUACCGACGCAUUUUUGCCGACGCUUUUUACAAGCGUCGGCAAGUUUCGGUCUAUUGUCAAAAUUUACCGACGCUUGUAAAAAGCGUCGGCAAAAGACGACGCUUAUUAGCGUCGGUGCAGUCUCGAACCUAAGACGACGCUAAAAAGCGUCGUCGGAAGCCACCGCACCUACAUCCCAACCCUCUUCUGACCAUCCCUCCUCCCUCCUCUCUCCGGGUUUCCGAUUUCCCGGCCACCGCCCUCCUCUCUCUAUUUAACUAGUAGUAUUACCCACAUCUCUCUCGCCCUCCUCGUCUUCUCUCUCUCUCUAACCCAUCAACGGUGCCUUCUCAUCAUCAUCCAACCCCCCUCCCUAACCCCCUCCGGAUUCAAGAAGCAGGGGCUCCGGCGAUGCUGCCGGUGCUUUGGUCAAACCUAUUGGGCCAUGGAUAUCUUCUUCUCCUCUUCUACCCUUUCAGAAAACCUGCUCUCUCUUAUCUUUUUAGGCCCGACAAAGGGUCGGAGUAGCCUCUCGUUUGGGCCGAGCUGAGAAAAGCGGCGACGAUGAGUUCCCUUCUCCUCCUCCUAUUCUUCCUCCUUAUUCCGGGCUAUUCCGCUCUCCCCUUGUGCACCGAUUCCAGUGGGUUUCUUCCUUAUUCUUCUUGCUCUUCUAUCCUGCUAUCUUUUCG